UACGUAGGGUGCGAGCGUUUGUCCGGAAUUAUUGGGCGUAAAGGGCUCGUAGGCGGUUUGUCGCGUCGGGAGUGAAAUCCACUGGCUUAACUGGUGGCUUGCUUUCGAUGCGGGCAGACUGGAGGUAUGCAGGGGGAGAACGGAAUUCCUGGUGUAGCGGUGAAAUGCGCAGAUAUCAGGAGGAACACCGGUGGCGAAGGCGGGGUCUCUGGGGCCCGUAACUGACGCUGAGGAGCGAAAAGCGUGGGGGAGCGAACAGG
RNAcentral lists this ribosomal RNA (260 nucleotides) under uncultured bacterium. Its description in RNAcentral is "partial 16S ribosomal RNA". It matches the Rfam family "Bacterial small subunit ribosomal RNA", at positions 524 to 776 of the family's 1533-position model. The record is from RNAcentral.